CAUUCAACGCUCAGCUCAGAACUGGCACGGACUAGGGGAAUCCGACUGUCUAAUUAAAACAAAGCAUUGCGAUGGCCCUCGCGGGUGACGACGCAAUGUGAUUUCUGCCCAGUGCUCUGAAUGUCAACGUGAAGAAAUUCAAGCAAGCGCGGGUAAACGGCGGGAGUAACUAUGACUCUCUUAAGGUAGCCAACUGU
Molecule: long non-coding RNA, 197 nt
Organism: Belonocnema kinseyi
Lineage: Eukaryota; Metazoa; Arthropoda; Insecta; Hymenoptera; Cynipidae
Exons: 3
Source: RefSeq, a predicted model, not a curated record